RNAcentral lists this transfer RNA (73 nucleotides) under Trichonephila clavata. It matches the Rfam family "tRNA". From Rfam's summary of the family: Transfer RNA (tRNA) molecules are approximately 80 nucleotides in length. The record is from Rfam by way of RNAcentral. Lineage: Eukaryota; Metazoa; Arthropoda; Arachnida; Araneae; Nephilidae.
GGUUCCGUAGUGUAGUGGUUAUCACGUUCGCGUCACACGCGAGAGGUCUCCUUUUCGAUCCCGGACGGAACCA